Molecule: long non-coding RNA, 518 nt
Filed under: Equus caballus (horse)
Lineage: Eukaryota; Metazoa; Chordata; Mammalia; Perissodactyla; Equidae
Description: lncRNA (ENSECAG00000052539.1)
Source: RNAcentral
AGACACUUCAUGGAUUAACUCACUUGAUCCACACAACAAUCCUAUUAGUGCAUCACAUCCAGAGGCACACAGUGGCAGGGUGUUCCGCCGGUUGAUGUGGUCGUCCGCCGGAGUUCUCCAUUGUGCAGGUUAAAAUGAUUCCAGCUGGUCUCAGCAGAGAACUGACCCAGAAGUUGUGACAUAUGAAGAUGCAAGAUGCAAGAGCCACCUUGUAACCAGGAGGAAAAGGCCAAAAGAAUCACAGGCCACAGCCUUGAGGCACUAACUCAAGGAAAGGGAAAGAGAGGAAGGCAGCAAAGCACCAUGGAGCGUUUCCCCAACGUGGAAAUAAAAAGUUCCACCAACCAAAGAGUCUUCUCCUUCCUCCACCGAACAUGUCACCAGCCGCACCAGGAUCUGAGACGGAAGCUGCACGCUGAAGCUCUCGGGCGAUCUACUCCUCCGUUAUGAAUGGAAGGCACCAGCCGCCUUUCUACUUGUCUUCUGAGAGGUUUUAUUCACCCGGGGCUAUAAGAGGA